UCCAUCCCGCCUGCGGAGAGAAGACAGGAGGACUUCGUCAUCACCAACGACAACCAUCAACACCAUCACCACCCCAUUGCCACAUCAACAGCAUCACCAUCAGACCAUGGUUAUCAUCUUCUCACCACCACGUCACCACCAUCAUCCCAUGAUCAAGAUGGUGGCCGUUUCUAAGUAUCUGGAGAUACAUCAUAGAGGUGCUCCGGAGACUAGAAAUCCCACUAUUCGUGCUUAGGAGAAGAGAACAACAGAAGAACCUCUUGACCAUCAAAGGUGGAAUAGAUGGUCUCAGAAGGCGGUGGAAUCUCCUUUGAAGGCCUUCAACCCAUGAUUGGGAGGCCACGUUUCAUGGUGUUUCUGAGGUCGAACGAGGCCUUCUUUGGAGGCCUUCAACCCAAGGUUAGGAGGCCUUCAACCCCAGGUAAGGAGGCCACAUUUUAUGGUGUUCCUGAGGUCGAACGAGGCCUUCUUUGGAGGCCUUCAACCCAAGAUUAGGAGGCCACAUUUUAUGGUGUUUCUGAGGUCGAACGAGGCCUUCUUUGGAGGCCUUCAACCCCAGGUAAGGAGGCCACGUUUUAUGGUUUCUGAGGUCGAACGAGGACUUCUUUGGAGGCCUUCAACCCCAGGUAAGGAGGCCACGUUUUAUGGUGUUUCUGAGGUCGAACGAGGCCUUCUUUGGAGGCCUUCAACCCCAGGUAAGGAGGCCACGUUUUAUGGUUUCUGAGGUCGAACGAGGACUUCUUUGGAGGCCUUCAACCCCAGAUUAGGAGGCCUUCAACCCAAGUUAAGGAGGCCACGUUUUAUGGAGUUUCUGAGGUCGAACGAGGCCUUCUUUGGAGACCUUCAACUCAAGGUUAGGAGGCCUUCAACCCAAGAUUAGGAGGCCACGUUUUAUGGUGUUUCUGAGGUCAAACGAGGCCUUCUUUGCAGGCCUUCAACCCAAGGUUAGGAGGCCUUCAACCCAAGAUUAGGAGGCCACGUUUUAUGGUGUUUCCGAGGUCGAACGAGGCCUUCUUUGGAGGCCUUCAACCCAAGGUUAGGAGGCCACGUUUUAUGGUGUUUUUGAGGUCGAACGAGGCCUUCUUUGGAGGCCUUCAACCCAAGGUUAGGAGGCCACGUUUUAUGGGAUCCCUUCAGACACUGAAUUCUCAUAAGGAUCAGUCCAGAUCAUCCAAGAUUCCUAUCAACAUCUUUUGAAGACCCUAGGAGUGGGGAGGACUCAGUAACCGAAAACCACGUCUCUCUUUUGUCCGUCUGUUUGUAACCAUAGACACACAAACGGAUCGAAUGUUUCGUGGAGCCGUUCCAAGACAACGGUCUGAAUAAAUAAUUUAUCGGAGGGGAAAUUGAGAGAGAGAGGCAGAUGGGCAGCGGGAGGAAAGUCAAUACAGAAGAAGGGUUUUCCACGCGGACCUGGCAUGAUGGGAGUUGUAGUUCGCCCACAACCUUAUGCAUAUGGGACGGGUAUAGAAAGAGUGAACCGGAUUUCCGAAGGGAGCGACUCACCUUUCGGUCGGUAAACAAAGACGAAAGCACGCUGGUCGUGUUUGCGUUUGGAUUACGAGCGGCUGCUCCUUUCCGGAAAUUUCACGAAGAGGCUCCGGCUCGAUCUUCGCCGCAUGGCAUUGGCUCUCCCUUCAGGGCGAUGGGAGUUGUAGUCCGAGCCGAUGGCUUCAGGAAAGCAUCUUGACCUGUGCAACACAAUAUAUAUAUAUAUCGGCUUGUUUGUUUACAUCAGCUAGAUUGGCAGAAGCUGGGGCUCAUCGACCUUUUGGUCAGCAAGUUUGUAAGCUCAGCGGUUUAAUCCACCGCACCACCCAGGGCUCAUAAUAAUAAUAAUAAUAAUAACAACAACAACUAUAUAUAUAUAUAAAAGAGUAAUGGCGUCACGGCAGCGGACAAAACAACAAAAGUAAACACCCCACAACCUCGAAAAUUGACACCACAACCCCUCAUCCAUGCCUCUUGGUUGAUACAACAAAAAGAAAAGAAAAAUGAAGUCCUAAUUAGAAGGAGAGGAAUAAUUGUUUUUAUCAAAUUGCUGCCAGUUAGAAGGCUAAGCUCCGCCCACUUGGCCUCCUAGCAACUCACUCAGCCCAGGGGACCCUUUACCUUAACUACCACCAAUUCCUCAAUACUUUAUUUCCCAUACCACCAUACUUCGCCACAGCUUUUAUUUAUAUAUAUAUAUGUGUGUGUGUGUGUGUGUGUGUGUGUGUGUGUGUAUAUAUAUAUAUGUACGUUUGUAGGACUGAGUAAACAACAAAACCAGUGAACCCAAUCACACCAAAUUUGCCCACAAAAGACAUAGUCAUCCCUUCUAUGUCUUUCAAUCAAAAAAACCUAGAAAAUAAAAGUCAAAAUUAGAGGGACGAGGAAGAGCCGUUUUCGACCCUGGUUGUUGGUCAGAAGGGUCUCGUUAUGUUAAUAAUAAUAAUAGUAGUAAUAAUCUGGCACAAGCCAGUCAGGGUGGUCCCAGUGGUGAUCGGCUUGCCGGGUUUCCGACAGACCGCACACAACGUCUCGAGGAUGCCCUGCCGUAGAUGGUGGGUGAAACGUCAGGAGAGAGUGCUACCGGGAGGUGGACCUAACCGCCCGGAAAACAACCCUGGUUGUUGGUCAGAAGGGUCUCGUUAUGUUAAUAAUAAUAAUAUAAUAGUAAUAAUCUGGCACAAGGCAGUCAGGGUGGUCCCAGUGGUGAUGGGCUUGCCGGGUUUCCGACAGACAGACCGCACACAACGUCUCGAGGAUGCCCUGCCGUAGAUGGUGGGCGAAACGUCAGGAGAGAGUGCUACCGGGAGGUGGACCUAACCGGCCCGGAAAACUCGCCACAAGCCAGAGAUUCGUGAAAUCUCCCCCGACAACACAUAACAUCCCGGUUUUUUGAAUAUAAACAAGGGCGGAAAAUUCAGCCUGUCUCGGAAACGAGAGAGCAGAAAAAAAUUCAGCGCGGAAUUUGCCGAGCUCGGCACAUUUUUUUCCUCCCCUGCUGACCACACGUCUGUGCAAUUUUUUCCCCUCUUUCCUUACCUGCAUGUUGUGUAUCCUUGCAGAAAAUAUAUUAUAUAUAUAUAUCGAUUGCAAGAGAAUUUUGUAUUUAUUUUCUUGCGAAAUGCAAAAUUCGGGGAUUCCUCCUCGCAGAACGAGAAAUUGUUAUCGGCUUACAACAGCGGCUUCUCGGGCAUUUCUUAGUUUGCUUUUUUUUCUCGAAUCUCUCCCGGGAUCCAAGGUUGAAACUUGACUCUUCCGAAAAAAAACGAGAGAGAGAGAGAGAUAAAGUUUCAAAUUCAGGGAACUCGAGGAAGGGUGGGAGAGUGACAGCCGGAGCUGCCAAUCAUGGCACAAGGCCUCGUAUGAAGCGGCCAAUCGGAAGGAGAGUAGCGACAAAAGGAGGCGGGGUUUAGGGACGGAAAUCAAAGAUACAGAAUGGGGGACGAUGCCUGGCUCGACAGCAGUGUGUGCGAAAAAGACUGAACAUCAGGAAGAACUUCCUCACUGUGAGAAGGGCUGUUCACCAGUGGAACUCUCUCCCCGGGGCCGUGGUGGAGGCUCCUUCUUUGGAGGCUUUUAAGCAGAGGCUGGAUGGCCAUCUGUCGGGGGUGCUUUGAAUGCGAUUUCCUGCUUCUUGGCAGAAUGGGGUUGGACUGGAUGGCCCAUGUGGUCUCUUCCAACUCUACUAUUCUAUGAUUCUAGGUAUAUGUGUGUGUGUUUAGGUUACUCAGUUGUUAGACUGAUACGCCAGAGUUGCCUCUUUUGAACCGUUAGGGGGAGAAAGGUAACGCCAGUGCACAAAAACACACACACACACACAUAUGUAUGUAUAGGUAUAUGUGUGUGUGUUUAGGUUACUCGGUUGUUAGACUGAUACGCCAGAGUUGCCUCUUUUGAACCGUUAGGGGAAGAAAGGUAAUGCCAGUGCACAAAAAAACCAAACACACAUAGGUGUAUGUGUAUAUAUAUGUGUGAGAGUUCUUUGUGCAAGGCACUUAGGUUACUCGGUUGUUAGACUGAUAUGCCAGAGUUGCCUCUUUUGAACCGUUAGGGGGAGAAAGAUAAUGCCAGUGCACAAAAAAACCACACACACACACGUAUAUAUGUAUAUGUUUUGGUGACGGUAGCCAUUGAAAACAAAAACAAUUUUAUUUUAUUUUUUUUUUU
Long non-coding RNA from Anolis carolinensis (green anole), 4158 nucleotides. RefSeq lists it as uncharacterized. The record is from RefSeq and is a predicted model, not a curated record. NCBI's taxonomy places the organism in Eukaryota, Metazoa, Chordata, Lepidosauria, Squamata, Anolidae. The transcript is spliced from 2 exons.